Molecule: ribosomal RNA, 621 nt
Filed under: uncultured bacterium
Lineage: Bacteria
Description: bacterial SSU rRNA
Rfam family: Bacterial small subunit ribosomal RNA
Source: RNAcentral
CUUACACAUGCAAGUCGAGCGGUAACAGAGAUAGCUUGCUAUCUGCUGACGAGCGGCGGACGGGUGAGUAAUGCUUGGGAAUAUGCCUUUGAGUGGGGGACAACAGUUGGAAACGACUGCUAAUACCGCAUAACGUCUACGGACCAAAGGGGGGGAUGCUUCGGCACCUCUCGCUCAUUGAUUAGCCCAAGUGAGAUUAGCUAGUUGGUAAGGUAAUGGCUUACCAAGGCGACGAUCUCUAGCUGGUUUGAGAGGAUGAUCAGCCACACUGGGACUGAGACACGGCCCAGACUCCUACGGGAGGCAGCAGUGGGGAAUAUUGCACAAUGGGCGAAAGCCUGAUGCAGCCAUGCCGCGUGUGUGAAGAAGGCCUUCGGGUUGUAAAGCACUUUCAGCGAGGAGGAAAGGUUAGUAGUUAAUAGCUGCUAGCUGUGACGUUACUCGCAGAAGAAGCACCGGCUAACUUCGUGCCAGCAGCCGCGGUAAUACGAGGGGUGCAAGCGUUAAUCGGAAUUACUGGGCGUAAAGCGUGCGUAGGUGGUUUGUUAAGCAAGAUGUGAAAGCCCCGGGCUCAACCUGGGAACUGCAUUUUGAACUGGCAAACUAGAGUUUUGUAGAGGG